UUCAACGACAACCAAAAAGAAGAAUCUAUCUAUGGCUAAAAAUUGUGCGUCACAUGCAAUUACAAUAAUGUUUAUUAUAGGAGUAGUUAUAUGUUCUGCCAUUACUGAUUUACAUGAUACUCUUUCUAAACAACGUUGGACUAGGUCUUAUUAUAUUGCAUUUGAGUUGGAUAUAUGCAUCGCUCGAUGUCGAAGACAGUUUCCACAUGAGUCAAUAAGUAAGGCAUUUUGCAUUGCACAAUGCUAUGAACAAUAUCGGCGACUACCUCCUUAAGUAACAAGUAACACAAUGUUCAUAUAAAUCUUCCAAUGAAUUGAAGAAGAUUUGAGAUCUUUAUUGAGAUCAAGAAGUGAUCCAUGUGGCUGAUUUUAGGUGUUUUAUUUAAUGCAUUUAUUUAUGUUUUUUUUUUUUUGUGCUUCAGUUAUCUUUAAGUUUCAACAACUUCAUCUUACUUUUUAUAAGACAAUAUAUAAUAACUACUUGAGUUA
This is a non-coding RNA of Arachis ipaensis, 489 nucleotides long. The record is from RefSeq and is a predicted model, not a curated record. Lineage: Eukaryota; Viridiplantae; Streptophyta; Magnoliopsida; Fabales; Fabaceae.